UCAAGGUUGUAGCAAUACAAUUCCAAUUGGGACAUCCGUGAGCUGAUCCCCUCAAGAAAGCGCAUAAGGUUAUCAGUAUGUUUUUUCAUGCUUUUCUCAAAAACAGCGAUGAUAUCUUGGUUGAAAGAAUCUUCUGGCUGGCCGUAAGAAGUGGCAGGGAACAUAGAUGACCUUGCUAUUCUACUUUUGUGAAAAUCCUUGCUGGA
This 206-nucleotide unclassified non-coding RNA is filed under the name Hevea brasiliensis (rubber tree). Lineage: Eukaryota; Viridiplantae; Streptophyta; Magnoliopsida; Malpighiales; Euphorbiaceae. The record is from RNAcentral.